Molecule: ribosomal RNA, 282 nt
Filed under: uncultured prokaryote
Description: partial 16S ribosomal RNA
Rfam family: Bacterial small subunit ribosomal RNA
Source: RNAcentral
GACGAACUGUUCUAACGUUAUUCGGAAUCACUGGGCUUAAAGGGCGCGUAGGCUGUUUGUUAAGCGGGGUCUGAAAUCCCUCGGCUCAACCGAGGAACUGGGCUUCGAACUGGCAGACUAGAGUGAAGUAGGGGUAAGCGGAACUUGCGGUGGAGCGGUGAAAUGCUUUGAUAUCGCAAGGAACACCGGCGGCGAAGGCGGCUUACUGGGCUUCAACUGACGCUGAGGCACGAAAGCGUGGGGAGCAAACAGGAUUAGAUACCCGGGUAGUCCCUGAGCGGG